CGACACAGUCUCGGGGCAGUUGUCCAUAGAUCGGGAAACCAGGGAAAAUCUUUCCCACAGUUUAGCCAAAACGCCUACCACCCAUCCACUGAGUCACAUCCGAUCCGUUAAAGUUCAUGGGCAACUUCCCGAAAGUUUAGGGGGCCAGUGUAAAAUUACGCCAAACAUCCGCACGUGUCCCGGAUACACUAUCCACAAGCUUUGGCAGCUCGAAGUGAUCCCGGUUCCCCUGGUGGUUAUCCUUAUCAGUCCGAUAUCUUGUGCCCGUAUCUCUGCUGUGCUUCGUGCUUACAGUUCCACAGUUUUUGACACAACUUUAAACAGGGAAAGUGUUGUUCGAGAAAAAAAAGGUUCUAUCUGUGCUGGUGUGUAUUCGCUUACAUUAGCUUCUAGUGUAGGAUAGUUUCGGUUGUGUUGCGUGUGGUUCACCCUCUUCCUAUCGAGUUGAAGUUCUGAGUAGUCGUGAAAAGCAGUGUGCGUGUGUGUGUGUGUGCCUGUAAUUUAGCAAGUGUGGUCUGAAAUUCUCCAUUCUCCCUCAGAAUAUAAGCAAAAAGCGUCGGCUAAAAAGCUUACUAAAGGUGCACACAUCACGGUGUGCCAGUGUUGCGAGAAAGUGUUAAUUAAAUUGUUGCAGUGCUGAGUGGGCAAUAGUGUGCGUUUGUGUGUGUGUGUGUGCGCGCUAGGUGUUUACCUUUGGAGCUGGUGAAAAAGCGUUAGAAAAAAAAAAUGGCCUGGGGAUACUGGAGCGCAACGGCGGUCGAUCGUGGUCGAUCACCGCGGCGCAAUACACAGCUACCGCAAACCCAGUACCAUGUCCAGGGCUAUCAGCAGCCAGUACAGCAGCAGCAGCAGCAGCAGCAACACCAGCAAUACAGCCUGGCGUCGAGCCAAUCGCAGCAACCGUCGAUGCACUGCAGUGCCCUGUCGCUCAACACCUGUCCGCAGGCGGUCGAACUGCCGACGCUUCAGCAGCAGCAGCAGCUCAUCUGCAGCAACGGUUCCCAGCCGCAGCUGCACCAGCAGCAACAGCAACAGCAGCAAAUCUGCUCGAGCCCGUGCCACAGUCCCUGUCACAGUCCGCAGUUUAUCGAGCAGCUACCGCCGGAGCUGCCCUGCACCCCCUGUACCUUCUCGCGUAGACAGUCACUUGAUAGUCCACAGGUAGAUCGAUGCCAAUCGCUAGCACUACUGGGGCGUGCCGAGGCGAACCAGCUUUCGGAUAUCAUCUGUCGGGCGACGCAGCCUUCGAUCCAGUCGGCGGGCAACACUUUGACGCGUGGGACAUCGUUGCGCGAUACUGGCGAUUACGCGGUACCUCAUCCACACCCGCACACGCACCACUACAUGUCCACCUCGGCGACGCCGCCCUCGCUGAGUCGCGUCGGGUCCUGUCCGGGUUCGACGGGUGGAUCGGGUUCGGGGCACGGGUCCGGUUCCGGCUCCAGCCCGGGCGGUGGUCCCGGGAGUGGUGGAGGAGGCAGCGGUAGUGUGGGUGGUGGUGGCGUGGGCAGUGGGGUGGGGAUCUGCGGUGGUAGUAUACUGGGUGGUAGCCAGGGCCGGUUGGAGUACAUCGAAUGUUCGCACUACGAUCGGAUGCCAUUGCCGAUCCCGGUACAGAUACCGAUCGUGCCACCGCCGCAACUACACUCGGAGGACGAAAUUGAACCGGCGUAUGCUACAGUAUUUCCAAAUGUGCCGUCUGCUCCGGGAUUGUCCUGCGUCGGUGAGGACCGAAGCAUCUACCGAAGAGGAGCUCGAAGAUGGCGCAAACUGUACCGGAUAAAUGGACACAUCUUCCAAGCGAAGCGAUUCAAUCGAAAAGCCUUCUGCGCCUUUUGCCAUGACCGUAUCUGGGGUCUGGGUCGGCAGGGAUUCAAGUGCAUCCAGUGCAAGCUGCUGGUGCACAAAAAGUGCCACAAGCUUGGCAAUAAACCGUGCAGCAACGAGCAUGUCGAACCAGUCUACAAGGAGCGAGAUCACCACGAUCCAAAUGAUGAGUCCAGCGCAGGUGACGUCAUUCAGGCCCCGUUGGAUUAUCCGUCCGAGCUGCAUUCGAGUGACGGUUGCGAUCAGGUACCGGUGGAGGUGAACGACAACGUCGAGGAACCGCUGGAACCAGUCACUCAGCGGCAAUACUCGCUGAAUGAUUUCGAAUUGAUCCGAGUCAUCGGUCGCGGUAGUUACGCCAAGGUGUUGAUGGUGGAGCUGAAGAAGACACGCCGGAUUUACGCGAUGAAGGUAAUCAAAAAGGCGCUGGUCACCGACGACGAGGACAUCGAUUGGGUGCAGACGGAGAAACACGUCUUCGAGACCGCAUCGAACCAUCCGUUCCUGGUUGGUUUACAUUCGUGCUUCCAGACGCCAUCGCGGCUGUUCUUCGUGAUUGAGUUUGUGCGUGGUGGAGAUCUGAUGUUUCAUAUGCAGCGACAGCGCCGCCUGCCCGAGGAACACGCCCGGUUCUAUGCGGCCGAAAUAAGUCUUGCGCUGAACUUCCUGCACGAGAAGGGCAUCAUCUAUCGGGAUUUAAAGCUCGACAACGUGUUGCUUGACCACGAGGGUCACAUCAAGCUGACGGAUUACGGCAUGUGCAAGGAGGGCAUCAGACCGGGCGACACGACAUCCACGUUCUGCGGUACACCCAACUACAUCGCGCCGGAAAUCUUACGCGGAGAGGACUAUGGUUUCUCCGUCGAUUGGUGGGCACUGGGGGUGCUGCUGUAUGAGAUGUUGGCGGGGCGCAGUCCGUUUGACAUUGCCGGUGCUUCCGAGAAUCCGGAUCAGAACACCGAAGACUAUCUGUUCCAGGUGAUUCUGGAAAAGACGAUCCGUAUACCGCGUUCGCUCAGUGUGAAGGCCGCCUCCGUGCUGAAAGGUUUCCUGAACAAAAACCCGGCCGAUCGUUUGGGCUGCAACCGCGACUCCGCAUUCCUGGACAUCAUGAAUCACUCGUUCUUCAAGAGCAUUGACUGGGAGAUGCUUGCACAAAAGGAAGUGACGCCACCGUACAUCCCUUCGUUUGACGGGUGCGAUCAGGACAUAACCUGUCACUUCGAUCCGCAGUUCACGCGCGAACCGGCCGAGCUGACACCGGACGAUCCCCGCGUCAUCGAUAAAAUCGAUCAAUCCGAGUUCGAAGGAUUCGAGUAUGUGAACCCGUUGCUGAUGUCGUUGGAAGACUGCGUUUGACAUCACGCAUCCUGCGAGCUGCAUCCAUACAACAUGCAGUUUGAUCGAGAGAUGGGAUUAGUUUCUAUCAUAAAUGACGAAUAGAAGCGGGAUAAACUAUACGGUGACGAUUCUAGCGAUUACGAUUCCGUUGUGGAUGAGCUAAGCAUUCUUCAAUUACCUCCACCACCAUCGAAGAGUCUACUGCAGCACAUGUUUUGCCUUCCAUUGAACUAGCCACAAGUUUAGCCACAGCCAAACUGCAACAACAAAAAAACCCCACUAGCGUGAGUGAGAAAGCAAAGACGUGAAGACGGCGAUUGCUUCUGGCUGACGACGAUAUGACGAGACCGACCGACAGCAUCAAGAUCGACUUCAGCGGCAACUCGUUCCAGACAGCUGUUUUGUAUUUUUUUGGUUGUUCUUCGAGAUUAUGUAUUAUCUGUACUUAAUAUUGUUUGUUUAAAAAAGAAUAUUCUGCGUUACAAUGCUUCAUUGGAAAUGGAAAGCCUUUGUGGGAGUGCUAAUUUUGUGUUCGAUCAUAAAUUUUGUUCAAUUAAUCAGAGAGAUGGCAGUGAUUUAAAAAAAUGCAAUUAAAUUCAGCAAUUAGAACGUAUCAUAUGCCAGCAAAACGCCGCUAAUGAUGAUGUUAAAUCCAACUGCCGCUGGUUCGAUGACGCUUACAGGAAAUGUGCCACAUUUCCAACUUCCCUAACUCUCUCUCUCUCUCUAUACGAUUAAUUUUCUUCUUGUAUGUUCAUAUUCUACAGUAUCUUCCACUCGAGUAUGCACAGUAUUUUUGUCUUAAAUAAGUAAAGAAACUGGCAGAAUGACAGUAAAACCCCCAAGAACAAACUACCACGACAAGGCGGCUCACUGAACAAUGAUGAGGAUGAUGAUGCUCCGUGAUGACAGUAGCUCAUUCGAUGUAAAAGGCGGGCAAUGGUUGGCAGUAAAAAAACACACACACACACAAACUUUAAUCUAGCAUAUAUAAUACUAGACAUAUUUAACAAGAACUUAUCAUACAACGUAAAAGAGAGUUUCAAAACAAAACAAAACAAAAAAUCAAACAGGCCCUACAUAUUGAAGAAAACAAAGAAACACCCCCGGGAAGGAAUUAUAUAGAAAUUUGCAACAACAACAAAACUUUUAGAACAUGCAAACAACAGAACAUCGGUUUACUCCAAUUUAAAGCAUUCCGCUCUACCACACCUUAACAACCAUUCGUUUUUUUCUCCCUUCCGCGGGUGAGCGCCUCACGGACACAGAGCCACACACGUGAGCAUAACUUAUAUUAAACAAUACGUUAGUUAAAUAACAAAUCAGAGGCAGCAUGUUAUGAAGUGAAAGAAAGGGAGUUACACACAAACACACAUACAAUUGCACAGUAUCGUUAACAAAUGUAGUAGUGGAAAAGGAAGAAAAAAAUGACAGCAUAAUAAGCCGUGACUCUGGGCGUGAUAAGUAACGGGCGGGGGGGUGGGCAGCAAGGCUUAUGCAAACAAACAAACAAGCAAACAAAACCAAACUGGAUUGAAGAAUCAAAAUUUGAACGAAAGCACGCUAAUGCCCGACUGCUGCAAGGGAGGGAGCGGAGAGGGAGCAUUUGUUGCAUAGCUGAUUGCGAAGAGAUGGAUGGGUGUUUAGGUAACAAAUUUAUUAUUAAGAAUUACUACAACAAAAGAAAUGGGUGCCCGAUAAAAAGAAUGUAGUUGAAUUGUUAGGCACAAGGAAACAAAAAGAAAACAACGUUCAACGUUCAAGAGCAAGGAAAUAAUAUGGGAGGGGGAAAAAAGAAAGAAAACUCAUAAACCGCAAAAAUGGGAAAUUUUAAAAAUUUUAGACUCGAAACAAGGGAAGCUGUUAGAACAAAGAUUGCGUGUUGCUGCUCCUAUAUUAUAGCCAGACAGUUAAGCACUUACAUUGAUGAUCGGCUUCGGUUCGGCAAAAGGGGAAUGUUAAUAUUGAUGCAACUUGGAAAGCUCUAAACCACACUUACACACACUCACAGCAAAGCAAGUAAAGCAAGUAAAGCCGGAACAUCGUCAUACUGUAGUGGACCGUUUUUUUGUACAUGAGUUCACAAGGAAGUAUGAUAGCAAAAAGAAGGGGGAAAACAAACAAUAUGAAUAAUUAUUGCAAUGCAAAACUCUCGUAGAAGCGCACCGGUAAAAAGAAGGGGAAAAAAAAUCUAACAAACAUUACAUAAAACGAAAUCACUAAAAGCGGGGGGCAGCGAUUGGGAUAGAAAAUUGUAAAACUGGAAAAAGAAAGAAGCAACUCGUAAGGAGCAUUAUUCCGCUGGAGGAACUGUGUGAGUGUGAUGUUUUGCAAUCUUGUUUGCUUGUUAGUGAAGGUGCGGUGCGUCAGGUGUGUUCUUUGUUUACCCAUUCUCCAUUACAGGGUUUCUCAUGGCCAGUGUUCACCAUUGUAACACGUACGUAUGUCAACAGUAUAAAAUGCUAAUCCCGACAUCGUAUAUGGUGUUGAAAACCCUUCUUUAAUUUAUUAAACACUUUAAAUCGUUGAGAUGAUUUGUGAUGAUUUUGAUGCUAAAACUUCUAUCGAAUUUUUAAGAAAAGUCAGUAAGACUUUAAUUACUUAUGUUGAAAUAUUCCAUAAAGCAUUCUUCUUCUUCUUUGGCACCAUAACGUUGAACGGUCUUGGCCCGCCAUCGCUCUGGCUUUCUUUGACUUGAUUUACCCGUGGCUGGAUACUCAAGUUCUGUCUACGAGUAGGUGGUCUGGAUGAGAUUUCAUCCCCGGUCUCGCCUGUGGGAAGAUCGGCGCUACAAGACCUCUCGAUUGGAAUGGUACGAGAGUUAAAUUAUUUUUCAUUGUAGAGUUGUAAUUUUACGAAGUUGAAUAUUUGUUUUCCCGUUGUUGAGAAGGUUUACAAGGAUGAAUUGCAUAUACGAUAGCGGAUCAGCAUUUUAUGCUGCUGACAUAUAGUGCUACAGUGUUGAACUGGCCAUGAGAAACCCUGUACGUUGCAUUUGUGCUUUCAAAUCAAACGAUGAAAUCGGCUAGGAAGAGAUUUAGAAGAAAAAACACGAAACCCUAUUCUUUAAAUGUACCUUGUAAUUGUUCGUAAAAUUCAAACCUAUUUAACGUGCUUUUGUUUUAACCCUAAAAAACGAUUGUAACUAAAAUUCACACACCUUGUUUUCGGUUAUUUGUUGCUGGUGAUAAUGUAGGCAGCGAGCUUUUGUGUCGGCAUUUUUUUUUCUCAGUGUAAGUGUGCGCCAAGGAAAGGGAUAGGAAUGCUAUAAAGAAAGCAACACUUGGAAUGAAAGGCAAACCGUUCUUCUACGGUGAAGAAAACAGAUGCAAACCGUAACGAACAAAGAACAGAACAUUCGUGGCGAAGCCUUUUUGUAGAGAUAGUAUCAGAAGAAAGGGGAAAACAUAUUAUCGCUAAAUGCGGGUGGCUGCGAAGCGUUAUAGGGGUGCGUUGUGUGUGUGAGGUUUUGCAUUUUCCCUAAUUUACGUUUCAAUUAUUUGCAUUUUUUUCUUCUGCUGUCUACGCGCUUUACUUUCUAUAACCCUUUACCGUAUUCCUUCACUGCAUACGAACAGAUUUCCGUACGUUUUCAUUCUUUCCAUUACAUUCCUGUUUUGCAUUUCCACGUUUUAGUAUAUUACAAUAAGUAACUUUAUUAGCAAACGUUACAUAUAACACACUGAUCAGUAUGAGUUGUAAUGUUUAGUGAUUUUUUUGCUUUUGCGCACUUAGGUGUAUAGUUUAUUAUUAUCACUAUCCUUAACCUUGCGAUCCUUAAGUGUUCCGUUUCGUUUCUUCGAUCCCUACCCUCUAACCAUCGCCCUUGAAGAAGCCCCUGAAAAAAGAGAUUGUUUUUUCCUUGUUCGUUGAAGAAAAAAAAAAGAAUACAAAAAUACGAUUAACUUAUAAACUGACACUAAGCAGUAUCGAGGCAAUGAAACUUAAAAGAACAAAGCAA
RNA transcript from Anopheles stephensi (Asian malaria mosquito), 7129 nucleotides. It is a transcript of the gene named atypical protein kinase C, with no coding region annotated. The record is from RefSeq and is a predicted model, not a curated record. The transcript is spliced from 15 exons. Lineage: Eukaryota; Metazoa; Arthropoda; Insecta; Diptera; Culicidae.